GUAUAGGGGACUUUAGGGAUAGCAUUGGAAAUGUAAAUGAAGAAAAUACCUAAUUAAAAAAUAAAUUAUUAAAAAAAAAGAAAUUACUCCUUUUGCAAGUCUGACUGAGUCUUUGCAAGUCAGCACUACUUCUGUAGUGUGUUCUUUGCCUUUCUUGGACUGUGAAUGCAGUUAGGAAACGCUCUAGGAGCAUUUAAAAUAACACUGCACUAUGCCAAAGCAUGGUGGAAAGGUGGUCCUCUCUAACACAUUGGCUGAAUGUAACAAGAAUGGCAAUAGUUUUGCCAGAACAUUCCACAGUCAAGCAUUCUUAACUUCUCAGCACUUUGAGUGCAGCAUAUGUGGCAGUAUAGUAAAGGUUUAUAGACCUUUCCUCCAAAUGUUUAAAAUGCAUAAAAUAAAAGAUACAGCGUUAUAAAGGAAAUCAAUUAUAAUGAAACAGUUAUAAAAUGUCUUAAUGCGAUUGAGCAGUGUGUGCUUUUAAAUAGAGCUUGGCAGUCAUUCUAAUAGCCACUGUAAUUUUGCCAUAAUGAUGAACAAAAAUAUAUUUCAAGAUACUAGCACUAAAUCAAUGUGAUAUGAAAAUGGCUAUGAUUUCUUUUGGCAGAGUCAUAUUUAUUGCUCGUAUUACCAAAAUGUGUUGCCCACAUUCAUAAUUUUUAAUGCUGUAUUUUUUUUUGCUAGAGGUUAAUGAAAUAAAUAUGUAAUACCCCAACCCUCCCCAAGUUCAUGGACUUGAUCUUUCUAGCCGUAGUACAUCAGAACUCUCUGGUCAGCUGAGUAGAAACAGAUCAUAUGGAAACUAAGGAAAGGAUUUGGCAAGGCAUAAAUAACCAUUAUCCCAUUCAAGUAAUAAUUGCUGUUCUGUACAAAAAAAAAAAAC
This 883-nucleotide long non-coding RNA is filed under the name Mus musculus (house mouse). RNAcentral's name for it is "long non-coding RNA chr7:131420683-131421566". Lineage: Eukaryota; Metazoa; Chordata; Mammalia; Rodentia; Muridae. The record is from RNAcentral.